UACGUAGGGUCCGAGCGUUAAUCGGAAUUACUGGGCGUAAAGCGUGCGCAGGCGGUUUUGUAAGCCAGAUGUGAAAUCCCCGGGCUUAACCUGGGAACUGCAUUUGGGACUGCAAGGCUCGAGUACGGCAGAGGGAGGUGGAAUUCCACGUGUAGCAGUGAAAUGCGUAGAGAUGUGGAGGAACACCGAUGGCGAAGGCAGCCUCCUGGGCCAGCUACGUGACGCUCAUGCACGAAAGCGUGGGGAGCAAACAGGA
RNAcentral lists this ribosomal RNA (256 nucleotides) under uncultured bacterium. RNAcentral describes it as "partial 16S ribosomal RNA". It matches the Rfam family "Bacterial small subunit ribosomal RNA", at positions 524 to 777 of the family's 1533-position model. The record is from RNAcentral.